CACACACCCCCACCCACUCAAUUAUCAUACAACAAAAAAGGUGGAGAGGAUUUUUCCUCCAUGACAAGGCUGAGACGCCGCGGCCAUUUCUGCCGCUGCACCGCCGCUGAGCGUACCACUUCCUAUUACCUGUACGUCACCCCCGAAAAUCCCUAAUUUUUUAGCCCUAGCCUGCGAUCUGGUGUCCUGCUUCUACUGAGGUUCCAGAACCCCAAGCUAUGCCGCCGGAAGAGAGCGCCGGUAAGUCGACUCUAGAGAAACCGCUUAACGAGCUGACUGAGGAUGACAUUGCUCAGGUCACUCGCGAGGACUGCCGCCGUUACCUCAAGGAGAAAGGAAUGAGGAGACCUUCCUGGAACAAGUCCCAGGCGAUUCAGCAAGUGAUAAUGUUGAAGGCGCUCCUCGAAACGACGCCGGAUUCCGACGCUGGUUCCCGCCGGAGGCGCCGUAUCACGCGCCGCUCUGAUGACAACCAAAGCGGCGGCAGCAGUUCUGCUCACCUCAUCAGUGAUCCUAAAGGAACAAGCCAAGAUGCGGAAGAUUCUCUGUGCAUAGACGAAGAUCCGCAAGGACCUGAUUGCACAGGCGGUUUCUCUGGUCGUCUCACUGCUGCCGGCAUUGAAUCUGCUCAAAUUAGACCUACAGAUUCAGCAAACUCAAUGGCAGGACAGAUGACAAUAUUUUACUGUGGUAAAAUAAAUGUGUAUGAUGAUGUGCCAGCAAACAAGGCGCAAGCAUUGCUACAUAUAGCUGCAAGUCCAUUAGAGCUUCCAGAAGGACAACUGGUCGAAAGUUCGAAAACAGUUCAGCAUUUACCUUGCACUUCAAAGGUUGUCUGCACCAAGCCCCAUCAAGAUUCUGUUGCUCUUGCCUCGCUGAAUCUCCAAACAGUGAAAAUGAGCAACAACUCUGUAGCACCCGGAGAAGAAGGUUAUAUUCUUCAUGAAGAGAAUACUGCCUAUUCCAUGCAGGGGAAGGGCCAUCAGCCCGAAAAGCAUCGUUACAGAGGUAUCUCGAGAAGAAAAAUAACAGGUGAAGGUUUAAGAGCAAGAGAAAGGCAGAAGCCGCAUCGUGUGCAAGCAUGGAUAUGUACUUUAACUAUCAGAUGCCGAGUAGAAACACUUUAACCCCGCCCCAAAUCAGACCAUCUUCUACCCCUGCCGGACAAUGAUGAUUCAGUCAAGACUCUGCUUUUCUACUCGUUUGUGUAACCAAGGUCUUUUGGUGGACAAGCGGUGGAUGAUUAAAGUGCUGAAGAAUGCAAUUUUUCAUCCGGAUAACUUUGAGUAGGCUACUAAUUGAUUCCCCUAAGUCAUGUACAUGUUUGUUUUUCUGCAUAACUAUGGUUUCAUUUGAUGACCAGUAAUCAAUCUGACGUUUCGAUCACA
Molecule: RNA transcript, 1388 nt
Organism: Andrographis paniculata
Lineage: Eukaryota; Viridiplantae; Streptophyta; Magnoliopsida; Lamiales; Acanthaceae
Gene name: protein TIFY 4B-like
Exons: 9
Source: RefSeq, a predicted model, not a curated record